UGAAAAGGUGUCGCGUCAGCUGGUGCUUUAAUGGACCCUUACUCCACGUUUUUUGUCGCAGGAAGCGAUGACGUCGCAAGAAUAUCAUCUCUUCUCACAACUUCAGAACUGGAAUGGGAAUAGCCAGGAUUGUUCAAAAAGGAAUUUCGGGAUGUGAGUGGGAUGCAACGCCUCUCCAAGGACACUGCACUUCCUCUGCCUGUUCCCCAAUUAAGAAUUCAUAGAUCCAAACAAAAACACGCCGGGAACAAGAACACGUCACUUAAAUGAGCGAUGACACAAACUGUCUCUUAAAAAAAUGUUUGAGCUGUGGCAAAGGAAAGGAAGAGGAUGUCUCAAAGUGUGCAUGCAGAUCGGUUAAAGUCCUCUUGGUGAAAACGAGAUGCCGUGUUUCUUCUCCGCCAUCCUCUCCCUCUGCCUCCUGCUGCUCCGGGCCCCUGCUUAUGUGAUGCUAAUUGUUUCUGCUACUUGUGCCAAGUACCUACUCUUCCCCAGCACAUUCUACAGACAGGCCCUGGUCCCUCGGCUGCUUUUUGUGUCUGUUUAAGGAAUGAAAAAAUGUGCACUGCCAUCUGCGGCGAGCGCACCACCGUUUCCCCUCCCGGCCUUGACUGUCACUGUGCCACAAUGAUACACGUUCACGAAGUCUCUCUGAGGUAAAAAAAAAAAAAAAAAAAAAAA
Molecule: long non-coding RNA, 681 nt
Organism: Xiphophorus hellerii (green swordtail)
Lineage: Eukaryota; Metazoa; Chordata; Actinopteri; Cyprinodontiformes; Poeciliidae
Exons: 2
Source: RefSeq, a predicted model, not a curated record